RNAcentral lists this transfer RNA (71 nucleotides) under Roseimicrobium gellanilyticum. Its description in RNAcentral is "tRNA-Gly". It matches the Rfam family "tRNA". Rfam says of the family: Transfer RNA (tRNA) molecules are approximately 80 nucleotides in length. Lineage: Bacteria; Pseudomonadati; Verrucomicrobiota; Verrucomicrobiia; Verrucomicrobiales; Verrucomicrobiaceae. The record is from RNAcentral. RNAcentral also lists the same sequence under 1 other name.
GCGGGCAUAGCAUAGUGGUAAUGCUCCAGCCUUCCAAGCUGGUCAGACGGGUUCGAUUCCCGUUGCCCGCU